GGGCCAUAGCCCAGUGGUAGAGCAUCUGCUUUGAGUGCAGAAGGUCCCAGGUUCGAUCCUUGGGAUCUCUA
Molecule: non-coding RNA, 71 nt
Organism: Podarcis lilfordi (Lilford's wall lizard)
Lineage: Eukaryota; Metazoa; Chordata; Lepidosauria; Squamata; Lacertidae
Source: the annotation of a GenBank genome assembly